This 73-nucleotide transfer RNA is filed under the name Macrococcoides caseolyticum. RNAcentral describes it as "Macrococcus caseolyticus tRNA-Glu". It matches the Rfam family "tRNA". From Rfam's summary of the family: Transfer RNA (tRNA) molecules are approximately 80 nucleotides in length. RNAcentral also lists the same sequence under 8 other names. Lineage: Bacteria; Bacillati; Bacillota; Bacilli; Caryophanales; Staphylococcaceae. The record is from RNAcentral.
GGCCCCUUGGUCAAGCGGUUAAGACACCGCCCUUUCACGGCGGUAACACGGGUUCGAAUCCCGUAGGGGUCAC